Chenopodium quinoa (quinoa) is the source of this 3171-nucleotide long non-coding RNA. RefSeq lists it as uncharacterized. The transcript is spliced from 5 exons. NCBI's taxonomy places the organism in Eukaryota, Viridiplantae, Streptophyta, Magnoliopsida, Caryophyllales, Amaranthaceae. The record is from RefSeq and is a predicted model, not a curated record.
CAAUGUUCCUUGAUUUAUGGCAUGAGAUGGUUUGCAUGUGUUUAUAGUUUAGGUUUUUUUUUUUUUUUUUUUAAUUUUUUUUUUAAUUUUUUUUUUUAAUUUUUUAUAAAUUUGGGGUGGAAUGUCAUUCAAGGUCUGAUUUAAUUUGGAAGAGGUAUAUUUGCUCUUUCAUUAUUUUACACCGUUAUUGUGAUUUUUGAUUUGGAUUUUUGUUUAUUUACUCCUAAUUUUCUCUCUCUUCACUCCAAACGACAUUUUUAAUCUGCAUGUAAGCUUUGCAAAUACCUGUAAUUCAUCUUCAUUGUUGAAGAUUAUGGUGUUGACUUUAUCAAUUAACUGGUGGUGAAAUAGUUUAUGAGUUUCGGAAAUCGAGGAAUAAAUUGGGGGAAAUUUUUAUAGGGUUUUUCGAAGCUAUGUUAUUGUGAUGUCAUUAGUUUUAUUAAUUUGGUGCAUAAAUGCUCUUUCCCGGGGAUAUAGGGUUUCGCGUUGCUGUAUACUUCAGUUUUUGGGUUUUUCCGGUGGUAUUCUUCGUUCUCCGGCGAAAAUGGCGGAUUGCGGUGGCUAGAGAGCAGGAGAUCUAUCGAUUGCUUGUUUUGGCAUCAGAAGAGGCUGCUCGAGCUGAGAUUGAGGCUAUUUUUCACACAAUUAAGGCUGAAUCUCUUGUCAAAGUUUAGCAAGAUAUGAGAGAUACCAGGUCUCGGUUCUCAAACCGAGAUUUCAUUUGCUGGAACUUUUGUUGGCAGUGCUAUUGCUGCUUAGUUUGCUGAGAAAUUGAUUGGCUUCAUUAGCUCCCAUGUUCCGUCUAUCUGCAAAGUACUCCGUUCUUUAUUAGUGUACUGAAUUUUUGAAUGUGUAUUGGGAAUUUGGGAUUCCUAUCCUCGAAACAUGCAAAAAGAGCCAAUUGCAAGGGCACUUAAACAGGGUAAGGCUAGCAAGAAGAGAGCAAGACCUGGUGAAAGUUAUAGGUCUCGGCCUAGAAUAGGCAGUUUAUCCAAGAUUAGAUUAAAGAGAUUCAAGAGCUUGUGCCCAAUGUAGCAAAGGUAUGUCUCCAGUGCAGUUGUGGAAAGUAGUGCUUUUAGAUGAUCCCUCUUAAUUUUUUUUUUUUUUUUUUGUUAACAUAUAUUGAUAUGAUCCCUCUUAAUUUUGCAUUGUAUCAUUGAUUCACUGCCGGAGCAGACAAUCGAACAUGUGGUUUUCAUGCAGAAUGUUACAGAUAGCACCAUAACUUUCUUUGUUUUGUUCGUUGUUUCUUUUAAAUCUCUCUGUUGAUCUCUUGGUUUUCAAGUUGGUUCAGGAGAUUAAUUAUUAAGUAUGAAAUUUGAUAUCAAAGAUGUAUAUCGGCUCUGAGCACAUAAGUUAAUAUAUGUUGGUGUUUGCCAGAUUAGCGAGUUCAAGCUCGAAAAAUUCUGAAAAGUCAAAGAGUUCAGGCUCUUCACUCUUUUGUAGGGUGUACUGUAAAACAUCAACCUCAGAAUGUGCAACCUCACCGAUCUAAUGAGAUAGUGAGUUUUAUUAAGAGACUAAAAAUUUGCACAACUAUGGACUAUUGAGAGAAAACAAGAAAGAGUGGGAAGGGGAAGGAGAGGAGGGAAGCAAAUAGGAAUUGACUUGAUAAAAUUUGUAAUAUAAUAUAAAAGACAAAGAGGGAGAGAGGAUGGGAGACAAAGAGGGUAGGAAAAAGUGAGCAGUUUCAAGGGACCAUUCUAAUGUCUUAGACAUGUAAGUAAGUAAGAAGAAACUUUCUCAUCUCACAUAACCAUAAAAGACAAGGAGAGGAAAAGGGAGUGGGGGAGCAAGCAGUACGGGCAUAUAAAUUUUUCGAAGCUAGAAAGAGAAAGAGGGGGUAGGGGGGAGAGGAAAAGUGAAAGGGAUAAAGAGAAGAGGGCAAGGCUGCGAAGGAGCCGGGGGAGAAUGUGAAGGUAAAAUUUAGAAAAAGAGGAUGCAAGAGUUUGUUCAACUUAAUGAAUUUUUCAACUUGAGUAACUUUUGAUUUUCUAUUGUGCUGUUGUUUAUAUUGUGCUAUAUCUAUGAUCAAGUUAUAUGCUCCAUAGUCUAUACUCUCAAUGGAUCGGAAUUAUCUGAUAUAUUAAAGACAAGAGAAGUGAAUCCUCAAAAUUGUUACAAUAUCACUGUUUCUUAAUCUUCUGUUUAGCCAUCCUCACAAAUUUUGAUUUUUCCAUACCUCUGUGUAAAUAACCUACUAUUGGUUCACAGUCGAUAACAUCUUCACCGUCUAAAGUACCGAUGAGUCAGAGAACACCAUGCAUUGAUGGAUGGUGAGGGCCCAUAUUGACUAUCAUGAAGUCUUUUCUGGUAGUUGGUACAGUCAUAGGUUUUUCUCCGAUUCAUUCUUUCACAAAUUCAUUUUUGCAACUAAUGGUAUCACCAGCUGUAAAAGCUUUUCUAACAAAGGCAUAAAGUUUGUGACAGUUUGUGUGUGGUAUGAAAAGAAGACAUGCAUGAUCACCCUUUUUGGUUUGAAAAGGGCUCGUAAAAAGGAUUGCUGCUAUCCUAGAGCCGGCUGAUGAAAUUGGAUAAAUAGGUAAAUGGUGAUAUCAAUGAGGAAGAGAUCACUUAAGAGGCAGGAGAUAUAGUUGAGAGAAUUUGAAGAGAGUAAUGAAACAUACCAAUUAAUUAAACAAGAUUCAGCUAUUCAAGAGGCACAUUUAUGGAAGAUUGAGCUUGGGAAGGCUAGAGAACGUAAUGUAAUAUUAGAAGGUUGUGAGAGCAGAGAAGGGUGAGGAUUACAAAAAUGGAUUUUGAAACCAGGAUAAAAGAAGCACAGAAGGAAUCAACAGCUUUGCAAAUGCUCAUUAUAUUUCAACUUUUGGAUGUUUCACUAUAUACUACUUCAUGUAUCCCCCAAAUUUUAAACUUCAUCCUAACUAAUUCUUUGGCCGGAUGAGCUUAAGUUAUGGGUCAGCUUAGAAUAGCAAAUAAGCUAAUUUUGCAGUUUUUUCACAAUUUUUAUUAGUCCGUUUAGUUUAAUCUCAUUACAAGCAUAGUCUCCAGUUAGAAUUUAGUUUCCUAUUUGAUGCAUUCCCUCCAUCCUUAAUUUUUUGUCUCAUUUCCAAUAUUUGGGUCAAAUAUUUAAUACUUGACCAUUAAUUAUCAUUGAUCUAUAAGAGAUGAUAUAGUAAUGAGGGAUUAUGUUAGAUUCAUCUUAUUAUA